Molecule: ribosomal RNA, 404 nt
Filed under: uncultured bacterium
Lineage: Bacteria
Description: bacterial SSU rRNA
Rfam family: Bacterial small subunit ribosomal RNA
Source: RNAcentral
AUAUUGCACAAUGGGGGAAACCCUGAUGCAGCGACGCAGCGUGCGGGAUGACGGCCUUCGGGUUGUAAACCGCUUUCAGCAGGGAAGAAGCCCCUCGGGGUGACGGUACCUGCAGAAGAAGUACCGGCUAACUACGUGCCAGCAGCCGCGGUAAUACGUAGAGUACAAGCGUUGUCCGGAAUUAUUGGGCGUAAAGAGCUCGUAGGUGGUUGGUCACGUCUGCUGUGGAAACGCAACGCUUAACGUUGCGCGUGCAGUGGGUACGGGCUGACUAGAGUGCAGUAGGGGAGUCUGGAAUUCCUGGUGUAGCGGUGAAAUGCGCAGAUAUCAGGAGGAACACCGGUGGCGAGGGCGGGACUCUGGGCUGUAACUGACACUGAGGAGCGAAAGCAUGGGGAGCGAAC